This 1445-nucleotide unclassified non-coding RNA is filed under the name Hevea brasiliensis (rubber tree). Lineage: Eukaryota; Viridiplantae; Streptophyta; Magnoliopsida; Malpighiales; Euphorbiaceae. The record is from RNAcentral.
CAGCCUGUCUCGAUACAAAUUAAAGUUCAGUCCUGACAAGGUUGAUACAAUGAUAAUUCAAGCAAUUGGUUUGCUUGAUGAUCUUGAUAAAGAGCUCAACACAUAUGCAAUGAGGGUCAGAGAAUGGUAUGGUUGGCAUUUUCCAGAGCUUGCUAAGAUCAUACAAGAUAACAUCCUUUAUGCGAAAGCAGUGAAACUGAUGGGUAGUCGCGAUAAUGCUAUAAAACUUGACUUCUCUGAGAUACUUCCAGAAGAGAUUGAGACAGAAUUGAAGGAGGCAGCUAUGAUAUCCAUGGGAACUGAAGUUAGUGAUGUAGAUUUGAUGAACAUAAGAGAUCUAUGUGACCAAGUUCUGUCUCUUGCUGAGUACAGAGCUCAACUAUAUGACUAUUUGAAAAGCAGAAUGAACACCAUUGCACCAAAUUUAACUGCUCUUGUUGGAGAGCUAGUUGGAGCUCGCCUCAUUGCCCAUGGUGGUAGCUUGUUAAAUCUUGCCAAGCAGCCUGGGAGCACAGUUCAGAUUCUUGGUGCGGAAAAAGCUCUCUUUAGAGCUCUUAAAACAAAGCAUGCAACUCCAAAAUAUGGGCUUCUUUUCCAUGCAUCUUUGGUUGGUCAGGCAUCCUCGAAGAUGAAGGGAAAAAUUUCUCGAUCACUUGCUGCUAAAGCUGCAUUGGCAAUUCGAUAUGAUGCUCUUGGAGAUGGCCAAGAUAACUCUAUGGGAUUGGAGAACAGGGUGAAGCUUGAAGCACGGUUGAGGAAUCUUGAAGGGAGGGAAUUGGGUCGUUCUGCUGGGUCUGCUAAGGGAAAACCUAAGAUAGAAGCUUAUGAUAAGGAUCGUAAGAAGGGGGCCGAGGCACUUUUAAGUGCUGCAAAGACAUACAAUCCUUCUGCAGACUCUGUUCUUGGGCAAACACUGAGCUUCAUUGCUGGGAAUGAGGAAGAAAUGGUCCCCAAAAGACAGAAGACUGAUCAAGCUGAGGAAGCUGCAAUUACAGGUGAAAAGAAGAAGGAAAAGAAGAAGAAAACUAGCGAGGUGACAGCUUUAGUAACUAAUGGAAAUGGCAGUGCUGCUCAACUCGAAUCUGAGGAAUCUGUAAAGAAGGAAAAGAAGAAAAAGAAAAAAGAGAGAGCUCUGAUUGAUGAGGUAAAAAAUGAUGUCGACAAUGUAGAAAUGGGAGAGAAGAAGAAAAAGAAGCGAAAGCAUGCCGAACAGGAUGAAGCGGAAACUGAGAUGCCAAGCAAGGAGAAUAAGAGGAAGAAAAAGAAGAAAAGUGAGGAUUAAGAAAAUUCAAAAGGUACUACCCAACAAUUUUGGAUGAAUUAGGCAGCAGUUCAGUAAAUCCCUAUGUAAUAUUCGAUUUUUGUUUUCUUUAUUUACUCAUUGGUAGGUUUUCUUUACUUGUUCCUAAUUUGUCUGGGCAAUUUAUUGCUGCUUGUAUCAGAGG